RNAcentral lists this ribosomal RNA (459 nucleotides) under Aporcelinus jiaonanensis. RNAcentral describes it as "LSU rRNA". It matches the Rfam family "Eukaryotic large subunit ribosomal RNA", at positions 461 to 891 of the family's 3401-position model. The record is from RNAcentral. Lineage: Eukaryota; Metazoa; Nematoda; Enoplea; Dorylaimida; Aporcelaimidae.
AACCGUAGUAUAGUAUCGAGCGCCUAAGUAAACAUAUACGUCGGCCGUAAAGCUCGCUCGAAUAAUGGCUAGUUGGUCGAUAGUGUUGGUACUUGCUCGCAGGUGCCGAUCUAUCCGAUUCGGGUUAAAAGUUAUCGGCGACGUUACGACGUAUAGGCGUCAGCGAUGUCAGUGUCGGCCACCCAUCCGACCCGUCUUGAAACACGGACCAAGGAGUCUAACAUAUGCGCGAGCUAAUGGGUGGAAAACCCAAAAGCGUAAUAAAAGUAAAGGCUGUUUCGGACAGCUAAGGUAUGAUCCUGGUUUACCGAGCGUAUCCGGGCGCAAUACCGUCCCGUCCCGACCGCAUGUCGGUAGGGCGGAGAUAGAGUUACAAGUACCGUGAGGGAAAGUUGGUGAACUAUGCCUGAGCAGAGCGAAGCCAGAGGAAACUCUGGUGGAGGUCGUAGCGGUCNGACG